This 756-nucleotide ribosomal RNA is filed under the name uncultured bacterium. Its description in RNAcentral is "bacterial SSU rRNA". It matches the Rfam family "Bacterial small subunit ribosomal RNA", at positions 8 to 796 of the family's 1533-position model. The record is from RNAcentral.
AGAGUUUGAUCAUGGCUCAGAAUCAACGCUGGCGGCGCGCUUAACACAUGCAAGUCGCACGAGAAAGUGGAGCAAUCCAUGAGUACAGUGGCGUACGGGUGAGUAACACGUGGAUCAUCUACCUCUUGGUGGGGAAUAACCCUGGGAAACCGGGGCUAAUACCGCAUAAGCCUGCAAAGGGAAAGCAGCGAUGCGCCGAGAGAGGAGUCCGCGGCCGAUUAGUUUGUUGGUAGGGUAAUGGCCUACCAAGGCAAUGAUCGGUAGCCGGCCUGAGAGGGCACACGGCCACACUGGCACUGAAACACGGGCCAGACUCCUACGGGAGGCAGCAGUGGGGAAUCUUGCACAAUGGGGGAAACCCUGAUGCAGCGACGCCGCGUGAGCGAUGAAGCCCUUCGGGGUGUAAAGCUCUUUCGGCAGGAACGAUAAUGACGGUACCUGCAGAAGAAGCUGCGGCUAACUACGUGCCAGCAGCCGCGGUAAUACGUAGGCAGCAAGCGUUGUUCGGAAUUACUGGGCGUAAAGAGUGUGUAGGCGGUUCUCUAAGUUCCGUGUGAAAUCUCCCGGCUUAACUGGGAGGGUGCGCGGAAGACUGGAGGGCUGGAGUAUAGGAGAGGAAAGCGGAAUUCCUGGUGUAGCGGUGAAAUGCGUAGAUAUCAGGAGGAACACCUGCGGUGUAGACAGCUUUCUGGACCAUCACUGACGCUGAGACACGAAAGCGUGGGUAGCAAACAGGAUUAGAUACCCUAGUAGUCC